RNAcentral lists this ribosomal RNA (460 nucleotides) under uncultured bacterium. RNAcentral describes it as "partial 16S ribosomal RNA". It matches the Rfam family "Bacterial small subunit ribosomal RNA", at positions 338 to 795 of the family's 1533-position model. The record is from RNAcentral.
CCUACGGGUGGCAGCAGUGAGGAAUAUUGGUCAAUGGGCGCGAGACUGAACCAGCCAAGUAGCGUGAAGGAUGACUGCCCUACGGGUUGUAAACUUCUUUUAUAAAGGAAUAAAGUGAGGCACGUGUGCCUUUUUGUAUGUACUUUAUGAAUAAGGAUCGGCUAACUCCGUGCCAGCAGCCGCGGUAAUACGGAGGAUCCGAGCGUUAUCCGGAUUUAUUGGGUUUAAAGGGAACGUAGAUGGGUUGUUAAGUCAGUUGUGAAAGUUUGCGGCUCAACCGUAAAAUUGCAAUUGAUACUGGCAGUCUUGAGUACAGUUGAGGUAGGCGGAAUUCGUGGUGUAGCGGUGAAAUGCUUAGAUAUCACGAAGAACUCCGAUUGCGAAGGCAGCUUACUAAACUGCCACUGACAUUGAUGCUCGAAAGUGUGGGUAUCAAACAGGAUUAGAUACCCCAGUAGUC